GUCUCCGUAGUUCAAUGGAUAGAAUAUCGGAUUCCGGUUCCGACGAUUAGGGUUCGACUCCCUACGGGGAUACCA
This 75-nucleotide transfer RNA is filed under the name Muribaculaceae bacterium. RNAcentral's name for it is "tRNA-Arg". It matches the Rfam family "tRNA". Rfam says of the family: Transfer RNA (tRNA) molecules are approximately 80 nucleotides in length. Their secondary structure includes four short double-helical elements and three loops (D, anti-codon, and T loops). The record is from RNAcentral. RNAcentral also lists the same sequence under 1 other name. Lineage: Bacteria; Pseudomonadati; Bacteroidota; Bacteroidia; Bacteroidales; Muribaculaceae.